CGACCCGCUUCUACCUGUCCCGAGUGACCAGAGCUCAGUGACCAGUCCUUAUAGUCGAAAGCAGGCAAAAACCAUGGGCCGCUCUGGAUUGUGAAGCCGAUGCCAAAAACCAAGAUGGCCUUGAAGAGUGCUCUGCUCACCCCCACCCCCACACACACCUUGGUGGAGGGUGGUGGAUGUGGAGAAAGUUCUGUGGACUGGAACUCGGGAUCCUUCUGUCUUAGCCCUGGGGCUGGAACGGCAGUUAUGUAGGUUUUUACUGCUGAGGACCUGGACCCGCUGGGAGGCUUGCCAUGGUAACAGAACAGGAGGUAGAGGCCAUAGGGAAAACCCUAGUGGACUCCACGCAGCCCCUGCAGGCCCGCUUCCGUGCCCUGUUUACCCUGCGGGGACUUGGUGGCCCCGAUGCUAUCUCCUGGAUCAGCCGAGGCUUUGAGGACAGCUCUGCCCUUCUGAAGCACGAGCUAGCCUACUGCCUGGGCCAGAUGAGGGACCCACGAGCCAUCCCUGUGCUGGUGUCCGUCCUACAGGACAGGAACCAGGAGCCCAUGGUGCGUCAUGAGGCAGGGGAAGCACUGGGGGCGAUUGGUAACCCGAAAGUUCUAGGCCUCCUGAAGC
RNAcentral lists this long non-coding RNA (618 nucleotides) under Rattus norvegicus (Norway rat). Its description in RNAcentral is "long non-coding RNA NONRATT026433". Lineage: Eukaryota; Metazoa; Chordata; Mammalia; Rodentia; Muridae. The record is from RNAcentral.